UACGAGGGGGGCAAGCGUUGCUCGGAAUCACUGGGCGUAAAGCGCACGUAGGCGGCUUUCUAAGUCAGGGGUGAAAUCCUGGAGCUCAACUCCAGAACUGCCUUUGAUACUGGAGAGCUUGAGUCCGGGAGAGGUGAGUGGAACUCCGAGUGUAGAGGUGAAAUUCGUAGAUAUUCGGAAGAACACCAGUGGCGAAGGCGGCUCACUGGCCCGGUACUGACGCUGAGGUGCGAAAGCGUGGGGAGCAAACAGG
This 253-nucleotide ribosomal RNA is filed under the name uncultured bacterium. RNAcentral's name for it is "partial 16S ribosomal RNA". It matches the Rfam family "Bacterial small subunit ribosomal RNA", at positions 524 to 776 of the family's 1533-position model. The record is from RNAcentral.